RNAcentral lists this ribosomal RNA (1265 nucleotides) under metagenome. RNAcentral's name for it is "bacterial LSU rRNA". It matches the Rfam family "Bacterial large subunit ribosomal RNA", at positions 1623 to 2895 of the family's 2925-position model. The record is from RNAcentral.
CUAGUGAGAAAGUAACUGCCCGUACCGCAAACCGACACAGGUAGUUGAGGAGAGAAUCCUAAGGUGUGCGAGAGAACUCUCGUUAAGGAACUCGGCAAAAUGACCCCGUAACUUCGGGAGAAGGGGUGCUGACCGCAAGGUCAGCCGCAGUGAAUAGGCCCAAGCGACUGUUUAUCAAAAACACAGGUCUCUGCAAAAUCGAAAGAUGACGUAUAGGGGCUGACGCCUGCCCGGUGCUGGAAGGUUAAGAGGAGAGGUUAGCGCAAGCGAAGCUUUGAAUUGAAGCCCCAGUAAACGGCGGCCGUAACUAUAACGGUCCUAAGGUAGCGAAAUUCCUUGUCGGGUAAGUUCCGACCCGCACGAAAGGCGUAACGAUUUGGGCACUGUCUCAACGAGGGACUCGGUGAAAUUAUAGUACCAGUGAAGAUGCUGGUUACCCGCGACAGGACGGAAAGACCCCAUGGAGCUUUACUGCAGUUUGAUAUUGCGUGCUUGUAUCACAUGUACAGGAUAGGUAGGAGCCGAAGAUACUGGGACGCCAGUCUCGGAGGAGGCAACGGUGGGAUACUACCCUUGUGAUAUGACCACUCUAACCCGCUGCUCUUAGCGAGCAGGGAGACAGUGUCAGACGGGCAGUUUGACUGGGGCGGUCGCCUCCAAAAAUGUAACGGAGGCGCCCAAAGGUUCCCUCAGAAUGGUUGGAAAUCAUUCGUAGAGUGUAAAGGCAGAAGGGAGCUUGACUGCGAGACCUACAAGUCGAGCAGGGACGAAAGUCGGGCUUAGUGAUCCGGUGGUUCCGCAUGGAAGGGCCAUCGCUCAACGGAUAAAAGCUACCCUGGGGAUAACAGGCUUAUCUCCCCCAAGAGUUCACAUCGACGGGGAGGUUUGGCACCUCGAUGUCGGCUCAUCGCAUCCUGGGGCUGUAGUCGGUCCCAAGGGUUGGGCUGUUCGCCCAUUAAAGCGGUACGCGAGCUGGGUUCAGAACGUCGUGAGACAGUUCGGUCCCUAUCCGUCGCGGGCGUUGGAAAUUUGAGAGGAGCUGUCCUUAGUACGAGAGGACCGGGAUGGACACACCGCUGGUGUACCAGUUGUUCUGCCAAGAGCAUCGCUGGGUAGCUAUGUGUGGACGGGAUAAACGCUGAAAGCAUCUAAGCGUGAAGCCCCCCUCAAGAUGAGAUUUCCCAUCACUUUAAGUGAGUAAGACCCCUGAGAGAUGAUCAGGUAGAUAGGUUGGGGGUGGAAGUACAGCGAUGUAUGGAGCGGAC